UACGGAGGAUCCGAGCGUUAUCCGGAUUUAUUGGGUUUAAAGGGAGCGUAGGCGGGUUGUUAAGUCAGUUGUGAAAGUUUGCGGCUCAACCGUAAAAUUGCAGUUGAUACUGGCGACCUUGAGUGCAACAGAGGUAGGCGGAAUUCGUGGUGUAGCGGUGAAAUGCUUAGAUAUCACGAAGAACUCCGAUUGCGAAGGCAGCUUACUGGAUUGUAACUGACGCUGAUGCUCGAAAGUGUGGGUAUCAAACAGGAUUAGAAACCCUGCUGACUGACU
RNAcentral lists this ribosomal RNA (276 nucleotides) under Bacteroides stercoris ATCC 43183. RNAcentral describes it as "partial 16S ribosomal RNA". It matches the Rfam family "Bacterial small subunit ribosomal RNA", at positions 524 to 796 of the family's 1533-position model. Lineage: Bacteria; Pseudomonadati; Bacteroidota; Bacteroidia; Bacteroidales; Bacteroidaceae. The record is from RNAcentral.